This is a non-coding RNA of Podarcis lilfordi (Lilford's wall lizard), 22161 nucleotides long. Lineage: Eukaryota; Metazoa; Chordata; Lepidosauria; Squamata; Lacertidae. The record is from the annotation of a GenBank genome assembly.
CGGUGGGCGUCCGCGUCUCCUUCACUCUGGGGCCAGGCGGCAACGGCAACGACGGCGGCAGCUCGCGGUCUCUUUCUCUCCCCCUGAGAGCGUCAAAAAGUUCUUCCCUGUUGCUUCGCCGGCGGCUUUUAACCGCGCCCCCUACCUGCCUCCCGCCCUCCUUCCCUUGACGUGCCGGGACAAGAGGAGGAGGAGGCGAGGCCUCGUCCUCAGGGAGGCGGGAAAAGGGCGCGAGGGAAGGCGAAGGAGAAGUAGAGAGAGGAGCGAGAGGAGCCUCUCUCAGGGUCGAGAGGCGACGCCGAGUGGAGGGAGCCGGGCGAGGCCUCCCUCAGCCCCGGCGCCCUUCAGGUGUUCCUGGACGGCGGUUCCCGUCACCCCCGACCGCGAUGGUGCAUGGCGGGCACCCGGUUGGGGAAGUCAGCGCUCUCGACACACACACACACCUUUUUUUUGUUUUUGUUUUUGCUGGGGCAAAAUCGGCUAUUUAAUGGUAGAACCUCCAACUACAUACCAAAAGCAUCCAAACUACAGCAGCGGGUAGAGUUAGGACAUUUUAUUAGAGCCACCUGAACGUCCCAAGAGGGCUUCAACCGAGUUCAGGUAAUAAAUGCAGGUGUGGUGGAAAACUACACGCAGAGCUGGUCUGACCAUGCAUGAAUUAGCUAUAUUUGUAUAUCACUUUCCAGGAUACAAUGCUCUGGGGAACUUCUGCCCCUUCCCAGCCAGAGUUGAGCACAUUUGAAUCCCACAGAUUUCAGCAGGAGAGAUCAUAAUAAUCUUGUUUUUAAUUAUCCAUGUGGUGCUUUUAUAUUGUAUUUUUAUGCUGUGAACCACCCUGAGAUCUACAGAUGAAGGGCGGAACACAAAUUAUAAUAAUAUAAUAUUAUAAUAUAAUAUAAUAUAAUAUAAUAAAUAUAAUAGUUGGAAGGAACCAUGAGGAUUAUCUAUUCCAAUCCCAUACAGUGCCAGAAUACGUAGCUGUCCAAUACAGGGAUCAAACUUGCAACCUUUGCAUUUAUCAGCACCAUGUUCUAACCGACAGAUCUAUCCAGAUCUGACCCAAGUCUAUGCACAACUCCAUCCCAUAGCAAGACAUGCUUAAUUUGGUGGGAACAGGAUUAAUUAUUAAUUAAUUUGCUUAAUUAAUUUCAGACAUUUGAUUGGCUAUUGAAAAUACCUCUUGAAAACUUUGCAAAUCAUGUCACCACUAGACAGGCACGAACUUUGAAGAAAGGGUGUGCAAGAUCAAGUGUUGGGAUAGUGGAAAGAGUGCUUGUGUCAUACAUAACACUCCUUUUCUGCAAGGAUUAGGAAGGAGAGGCAGGGCAUUCUGGAAGCACUUGUGAAAGCUGGCUCUCCAAGUUCAUAUUUCUUCAUUCAUGCGGGGGAAAGUGCUGUCUCCUCUCACAAAUUGUGGAGCAAUUAUUAUGCCUCAUAAUAAAAUGGAUGAAAUCUGACAUGCUCCCCAAUUCCAAACAGGGCUAUUCUGUGCCAAAGUUAUUAAGUGCAAGGAUACGGAGAGGGCUACCUUGAAAGCAGAUAAUCUGCUGAAUGGUGGUUUAAGUUGAAACACAUCUGCAUCAGGCAAUAAGAUAUGCUGUUGCUAUUGCUAACACAUGCCAAAAAACCAUUUGAAGAUAAGCUAAGUUUUCUGUGAAUCUACCUCACAGGAAUAACUAAUGUGAUUUUAAAUAUAAUUGAUAUCCAUAUCUUCGUGAGAUUUUUGAAACGAAUACAGCUUGCUUGAAAUAAAUGCAGCUAACUUCAGGUAGUAAGCAUUCAGCCUAUUGGUUAAAAAGAGAGUUGAACACCUCUCCAUUCUUUGCUAUCAUUGAUAUUGCACAGAUGCAAAGGAGAAGUAACUUUAUUGAUUUAAAUAUUUAUUAAAUUUCUAUACUGCCCUUCAUCCGAAGAUCACAGGGCUGUUCGCAACAUCAAAAUAUAAGACAAGAAGACAAAAUACAUAAGAAAAACAAAACAAACACAUCUGUACACCAUUUAUUUUCUAAAUCACCUAGUUUGCCUUUUGAGUGACUCGAAAAACAAUCGAUCUUGUAUAUGACAUCAAAGUUUGAUUUGUUGCUGAAACACUGUAUAUUUUGAUAAAUAGAAGAUACAACUGCUUGAUCCUUGGAUCUUAGAGCACUUGCAGACUCACUAUUUUUGAGUGGGAUUCAAUCAAUCAGGUUGGCAACAAGAUUAGAUUUGUUACAAUAAGGAAAGAGAUAGGAAAAUGCACUGGAAAGUGUGGGGAAACACAUACUUUUAACGCAAUGUCAUCGAACCUCCCCACAAACAAAUCAGAAUGAAUUCUCAUUAAAUAGCAAACAGCAUCCAAUUUCCCUCUAAACAAAUCAGAAUGAGUGCUCAAUAAACAUGUUGGCAGGGACCACAUUUAAUGCUGCAGUCAGCAUGUUUCACAGAUAACUCUUCAAACUCAACUUUAUCACCUGAAGUCAGCAAGCAUUCCCCCCUCCCCAAGUAUAUUUUUGUUUCAAGGUUAGUUUAUCCAGUUUUCAGAUCUCACAACUGAAUUGCUUAGGAAAUAUUUUGUUUGUUAGAAAUAAAUUACUAUCUGUUUGGCUUUAAAAUUCUGGCUUUCCUGUAUGCUAUAUCAUUCAAUGAAUAACUGAUAUAUAUUUCUCAACGUGGGAUAGCUCUGUUAUCCCAGGUUGGGAUAGAUUAAGAGCAUGAGAUUGCCAGGGGUUGGACUAGAUGAUCCUCACGGUCCCUUCCAACUCUACAAUCCUUUGAUUCUAUGAUUCUCUCCCUUUAGGCAUCUCCAUUUAUCUUAUGCUGUCCACCUGUACACAGCUUGGUUUAGUAUUUCAGCUUGUCAAACAACAGCGAAUGAGCAACACCCGUAUUGUUCCUCUGACUCUGGAAAAGGUACAUGUGUUUUUACUUGUUAAAAUUAUUGGCAAAAGCAGAUAGCCAAAUGAACCAAACUAGAUGGUUCCUUUUUCCUAGCUACUUUCAGACAAGACUUUUGCAAGUGAUAAAAGCACUGAAUCAGCAUACAUAGACCUCUCAAUGCGAAGAACUGUUCAGACUCUCAUGCUGCUUGUUGCACUGCUGAUCUAUACAUAAUAGCAGGUUCAGCACAGCAACUAUGCAAAACCACAAAUUGCAAACUGAUGCCUCUUGAUUGAGGUAUGUUUCAUCACCAACACAUGCACUUUUUUUCACUUACUCCUGCUGUUUCUGGAGGAACAACUGUUUUGAAUAACUCCUACAGAACUAAUGGACUAAACCAGGCAUAGGCAAACUCGGCCCUCCAGAUGCUUUGGGACUACAACUCCCAUCAUCCCUGACCACUGGUCAUGUUAGCUAGGGAUGAUGGGAGUUGUAGUCCCAAAACAUCUGGAAGGCUGAGUUUGCCUAUGCCUGGAAUAAACAAUUUAGUUUUUUGCAUAUCUCAGAAACUCUCAAGAAUUAUUAGAAUCUUUUAGUUAGCUGAAAAUGCUAUCUGCCUAUAUCUGUGCACCCAGUAAAAGCAUGCAAUGCUUUCUGUAAAGUUUUCUCUUUCUGUAGAGAUUUCCUAAACCUCCAGUGCCAAGGUAUAUACAUAUGCCGCAAGGGAUGCCAUAUUUUAAAAUUUUGGUCUGAAUUUUGUGGUCAGGUAAUUUUAAGCAUAGUUUAACAAACUUUACAUUGAUUGACUGAUAUGUAGAUGCCAGAGAGAGGGGUGAAGGAACUGUUUUACGAAACUAGGAAUGGUUAUAUAUUCAGAUGUAUUGCUUUACUUUAUAUGUGAAUGGGGAACCUAUGGCCCUCCAUAUGUUGUUAGACUACAGUUCCCAUCAGCCCUGAACGCUGGUCAUGCUGAGUAGGGUUUAUGGGAGUUGGGAGUCCAUAUUUGGAGGACAAAGCUUUCCCAUUCCUGCUUUAAAUGCAUCACCAGUAGACUUUUAAUUUGCCUUUAAAUAUCAAUAAGGAACAAGUAUCUGCUUCAGUAAAUGUGAUAUUAUUUCAUUCUUAAUGGCCAACGGCAGCCAUGUAAUGGGAAUAUGUGUCUAGUUUAAUAUUCAUUUGCUGUUCGUGGAUGGCUAUGGGAUCAAUCUCAAUCUCAUGAGAUCAAUAAACCAGCUUGCUUGAGAAUUAGAUGUCAUUCGUUAGCUACAAAUAGUUUUUGUGUUUUUUUAAUGAUGAAGCUUUAAAUUACAACUCAGAGUUCCUCCUAUUUACUUCUUUCUGGAAGAGGUCAGCAUUCUAGACUAAGUCACACUAGUAGCUGUAAUGUCAAACAUGCCCACUUGAUGUUUGCCUCCAAAGGUCAUUCUUGAAAUAAGUUACAAGAAGAUAAAUCUUCUUGUAAAUAAGAACACUUACUAAAAUCUUGUAUUAGUUUGAUAAGAGAUAAAUUCCAGUUGAUUAAUGUGGAAUGCAGAGCAUCUGGUGUUAAUUCUUAUUUUUAUAAUAGUAUUAUAGCAUAUUGCAAGGGUACAAGUGGGACCUGCAACAAAUGGUUGCAGUGCAUUACUCAGCCUAAAAUGAGAGUUCCUGUUCAGUGUUCAAGCUGCCCAUCCCUUCCAAGCAGGAUAUUCCACUUCUCCCUAUUCCAUUUUCCUUUUCCAACUGUCAUGCUGCAUUCCAUGACUACUGAACCCCUAAGGGAAUUUUACUACUGUAGUGUUGUUGUUUUUUAAGAGUCUUUGUAUUUCUGAAAACCCAGAGUUCCCCUAAGCAUGCUGAUUUUCCUCUUGUUUUCCAAUGGCCUUGCUGCCAGUGUUCCAAUUUAAGCUCUAUUAUGAGAGCACAAUAUUUCAACACAGUUAGCCUUUGAUGUACAUGGCAAGACACACACUUGCUAAAGCAGGAAAAGAAAAACUCACUUGAGCCCUAAAAUUACACCCACAGAGUCAUUUCCUUUUCUGCAUAAUUACCACAUGACAAUAUGAAGUGUCACAGAGGUCUCCUGUAGGUUAUUCGUUAGCUAUUCUAGCUCAGGCAGUAGGAUCCUUAAGUUUUAAGAUCUAUAUUAGAAGGAACAAGGGUGUCCAAACAGAGCAGUGGUGUGUUUGGGGUUGCUUCAUUGAAGUGAAAACCUGAGGUGGAAGAGUCCACAUGUAAGGUGAAAUAGAAUGUUGCCCAUGUGGCAGUAACUCAGUGACUUAAGAUUUCAUCUGUUAUGGUCAAUUCAUAUUUUUCUUUUUUAUUUAGUGAAAUGUUUAGACCACUAAACAUCAAAAUAUCCAAGCAGUUUACAUUGUGCAUUGCAAUAAUCCAGUCUUGAGGUAUGAAAUGCAUGAAUCACUAUAGCUAAAUUAUCCCAGUCUGGGAUCAGUUGUAGCUGAUGUACCAGCUGAAGCUGGCAGAUGACACGCUUAGCCACUGUGGUCACUUCCAGUGACAAAAAUUAAUAUAAGAGCAUGCCCCAGGCUGCAAACCUUUUCCUUCAGAGGAAAUGUGACCCCACCCAGAAGUGGUAAAUCUUCUAGAUUCCUUGUGGUGUAUUCAGUUCUUACAUUGCUGUGAACAGCAGCAGCAGCUAUCAUCAUCACCACCACCACCCAGUCUUCACCAGCAGAUCCCAGGAUGGGUUACAACAAUUUAAAAACAGGUAAAACUGAGGAUAACUGAGAGUUUUGUGUGUACCAUCUUAUGUGACAGAGCUUCAGAGGUCAUUUUGUAUCAGUUUGGCCAGAGCCCCCUAAAAUGCUCAGGGUGGGUGAAAAGCUGUCUGAUAAAAGUUUAUUUAUUUAAAGAAGCUCCUUGCAGGGUCAUCUGAGAUGUCAAAGCAGGCAUAAUGGCACAGCAGCCUACAGGAGCCUGAACAAUUUUUCUGCAGGCUUCUGCUUGGAAACAAGAAAAACCAGUUGCUCAUAACUUGAUUCUCUGAGAAGGGUUGUGCAUCAGGCCAAAAGGGAUGAGUGUGGUUCCAUAGCGGAAUGACCUGUUUGAAGCUGAAAACAUUUUAUUCCCUUUGCAUGCCUGCUUGCUCAUCUUUGUGAAAGUCAUGUAUACUUCUAUGGACAAUUCACAUAGAACUGGAACCAACAAAACCAAUGACUGCAACCAGUGAUAACUGCUGAGUGUUAUAUACUGAUUCCUGUUGAAUCCAGAAAGAAUCCUCAGCCAGCUGCACUGGGCUUCCUUCAUAAUUAUACCAUUCUAUACCAUCCUGUCUGAUCCUCCCAUCCCAUAUGAUUCUAGCUUGUGACUCUGGAUAACAUUUGUCUUCCCAAUCCUGAGCUAGGGAUGAGAAAGGAAAUGUUUUGGUUUAUUUUCAGAUAUAUUUGCAUCUGCAUGCUGGUUAUUAAGGUACACAAAAUGGCUUAACAUCCUUGCUCCUCCUCCCACUUUAAUAAGCUCAUAGCUUCUCUUAAGUCUCUCAAGUGUCCUGACUGCAACUAUCACCCAUGAAUGAAUGGAAAGUUUUAUGGGAGAGAUAAGGCUGCAGCUGAGCAUUAUAAACGAAGCUGUCAGUUGUAGCAUUAGUCCAGAACUUGGAAUAUCCCAGCUGAUUUAUCUUAUGUAUCUUUCAAUCCAUCCCUUUGUUCUCCAGUUUACAUAGCAACCCAGUGUGGCUGGGGGAGGGAAAAUUUGAGACACAGAAAGCACCAAAUCCAGAGCUAUAUAGAGGUCACACGCUGGGUGGGUUUCCAUGACUUUUAAAAAAGCCCCUCCUAUUGGUUCCAUUAGGGUAGGGUGGGGAGAUACUAAUGCUAGCUCCAGGAACAAUGUACUUCUUCCCACUACACCUCGCCCCCAUUCUGGGGGCACAUCAGGGAAAUAGGAGGACAAUUUUCUGUCAUGCCUCUCCUUGGCCCCCUUGUUUUCAGAGCAAGAUGUCCUUUAUGUGGCAUCUAGGAGAGGGAGUUCUGCAAAAUCCUGUGAUCCUGAAUCACUCUCCCAGGAUCCAUAGGAUUGUGCUUAUUGGUUUAAUUUCUGUCGGUUAAAUUAAACCAGUUUGCUUCUAGUUGCCUCUAAUACCCACUAACUGUCAGUUUAAUACACUGCUCCUUGUCAGAUAUUUUGUUAUGAGUCAUUGUUGUAUUUCUGUACAAAAACCAGGCCUGAAUCCCAACUGCAAGGAAAAUCUUAAAUUACACACUUGACAUUUAUAUACAUAUUUUUUUAUUGCUGUUUGUAUUGUUAGUGGUAUCUAAGAACAAUAUCAUAAUAAACGAUAUUUAUUAACGCUUCCUUUAAAUUUCAUUCGUGCUUCCAGUAACUUCCAAAAUGCUUCAUCAGUGCAAUCAUCUCCUAACUAUAGACUACCAUACAUUCACCCGAUUUCAUUAUUUGCUCUCUUUUUUCCAUUCAUAUGCUGUUAUCUUCCCUUUUGCCAUCAGCUGCACUAUGGUUUUUUCUGUUGUUAUCUAAGGAAAGAAAAUAAAUUCUCAAAUAGCCCAUCCAACACUACCCUUUAUGAAUACUAUUUAUUAAUGAAUACAUUGAGUCAGAUGGACAAGUAAUAUUUGUUCACAUGUUGCAGUGCAAAUUAGCUACAGUGGUACCUUGUGUUACAUACGCUUCAGGUUACAGACUCCGCUAACCCAGAAAUAGUACCUCGGGUUAAGAACUUUGCUUCAGGAUGAGAACAGAAAUCGUGCUCCGGCGGCGCAGCAGCAGUAGGAGGCCCCAUUAGCUAAAGUGAUGCUUCAGGUUAAGAACAGUUUCAGGUUAAGAACGGACCUCUGGAAUGAAUUAAGUACUUAACCCGAGGUACCACUGUACUUGCCAAUUGGCAUCUCUCUGUAGUGGGUUUUUAUUUUAUUUUUUUUUGUUCCUUUUUCGAGUUAGUGCUACUGUAAGCUGCUAUCCUGAAACAACAUUUCUUACACUUUCUUAUGCUUUACCAAGUUUGUUUCUUGUUACCUAGUGGCCAUUGGAGACGUUUCCAUUGCUGAGCAAAGCUAAAUACUAAUAUCAUUGCAUUGAUGCCAGUUGAUGUAACUGGUCAUUACCCACUUUUAACACCCAGUCUCUUUCCUGUAUAUAGUAUGGAUUAGCAAGAACUUCCCAGUUCUGUAACCUGUGGUUAUUCAUACCUACACUAUGUGAUUAUUCAUUACUGUUUAUUCAUGUCUAUGUUGUUGCUUCAUAAUGGAGAUUAUGUUAUUUCCAAAUUGUUAUUUCAAUGUUACUUUUUUUAAAAAAUAAAUAAAUCACAUUCGCUAACUUUCUUCAAAACAUUAGAAAUCAUUUCCUAUCAAUAUAGACCAGUAGCAUGUCUUGCUUUAAUUUAACUUCUAUGUGAGAGGUGGCUAACCUUCUUUGGCUGAGGGCUGCAUUGCCAAACAGCCACCCCAUCAAGGGUCACAUGCCAGUGGUUGUCAUGGCCAGUGUAUGCACAUAUGUGUGCAUACAGACCAUGCACACAUACAUUCACCACAUAUGCAUUCACACAGCACUUUCUCUCUAUUCCCCCCCCAUAAACACACCACACAUAGUACUAGGUUGAAUACAACCUAUGUGUGUGACUAAGAAGAACGUUCCAUCAGUGGAAGCAUGACUGCUUGCCCAAUGGAAUGACCCCACCACACUGUUCUGGGGAUUCUUCCAACCUUUUAGAGCAGAUUAGGGAGGAUGUCCCAUUGCAUUAGAGGGAAUCCUUGCACUGGCUUCUCUUAGUGCGCGGAAUUCCUUUAAUAUGACUCAUACACUCAGAUAUGCCUGCAGACACACACAACCAGAAUUUGCAGCCCUCAACUAAAGUGUUCCACAAAUGACAAAGCCUCCUUGGAUCUGACAUCUCAUAAGUUGAUCUCCUCUAUAGCUUCGGUCAGAGGAGCUACCAGAAGUGCUGCAGGCUGCCUCAUGCUGUACAAUAGGUGAGAUAGUAGUAGUAGGAUUGCACUUGUUUACACUACUAGCCAUGCCAGCAGCCUCAGAACCAGGGAGAAGGGGAAAUGUUCAGUUGUGUAUUCACUGCUUCUGCCUGCAACAGUGAAGGUGCACUUGGGUUGGGUGGAGGAGAAAUGAAAUGGUCAGUGCUGCUGCUUGCAGGUGCAGCACCCCUUGCAUGUACCUUAUCCCUGGGGGCAGCUGCCAGUAUGAUGUACAUACCUCAUGAUGACCAAACAUAAUAGUGGUAAUAAUAGGGAUAGGAUGUGGUGAUGACGAUGGUAACAUGAUGAAAAUGAUUGUUAAAUAUAUAUGGUGUGAUGCUUUGCUGCCUAUAACAGUGAAUGUUUGUUGACACACAAUGGCACUCAGGCAGGCACUAAGAAAGUAAGAAUUUAAUAAUACUAGUAAUAAUAAGAGUACUAAAUAAGGCAGACUGUGCUUGGCUUCCAAUACAAAAUUACCCUAUUUUUCGCUCUAUAAGACGCACCAGACCACAAGACGCAGCUAGUUUUUGGAGGAGGAAAACAAGAAAAAAAAUAUUCUGAACCUCAGAAGCCAGAACAGUAAGAGGGAUCACUGCGCAGUGAAAGCAGCAAUCCCUCUUUCUGUUCUGGCUUCUGUGAUAGCUGCGCAGCCUGCAUUCGCUCCAUAAGACGCACACACAUUUCCCCUUACUUUUUAGGAGGGAAAAAGUGAGUCUUAUAGAGCAAAAAAUACGGUACUUAGGUUUGAUGAAGGGAUGUGUUGGGUAACAGCCACAACACAUACAGAAAGAGGCACUAAGAAAUAACUAGUUGAAUAAUAAGAACCACUUUAUAAUUACUUGUAUAAAAUAAUUAAAAAGUCACCAGGACUACACACAUAUAGUGAACUAAAAGCAAACUAUUUUGCUAAAGAAAAGAGACGAUCCAUUGACUUGCCUAGUAAUAAGAAUAAGCAAGCAAUCAGCAACCCUUACACUCAAAUUCAGUCACAAAGGAACUCCCUCCUUCUCCUCACACUGGUGUUCCCAUUAUAUGAAAAAAAUAAUCACACUUUUGUCAGACAUAAUGCAGCAUAUAUAUUUUUUAAAGACCGAGUCCAUAAGGUCCUUAGGAUGGGAUCCCUACUUUAACCCAGGGCAUCUCGUGCAGAUCCCACAUGGAGAACCCCCAAAUCCCUCUGAGGCAACCUGCCCCAGUUCAAGAUUCAUUUGAAUCCAAAGCAUAUGUCUAGCUCCUGAAAUCUUUAUAUUCUUUGCAAGACUAGACAUGACUAGGUGUUUGAUUGUCAAGUUGCUAAAUCACAAUUCAUACCUCUUUCAAGAUAAGAUCCCUUUGAACAAUUCUUUCCAACAUCACUGCAAUAGAUCUGCUAGUGCGGGCAGCUCCUAAAUGUUGAAUAUUUCCUGAUUUAGGCAAUUAACUUGAAAUAAGAAAGCAAAAUACAAAGUGUAUCUUAUUUAUAUGUUCAUUCAGUGGUAUCUGUUUAUCUUAUAUGUUCUAUUUCAUAGAAGAAACCUUUGGUAAUUUUUUGCACAUAAAGAAUCCUGUUUAAAAUUGUCACAGCCAUAGGAGCCAACUGCUAGGGGCCAGAGGGGCUUCACUGCCCCAAUACAUUAUUUGAGGGGGCAGUGCCAUUCAAAUGGUAUGCGUGCACUGCAUCAUGUGAUUUAUUAUGGCAGACGGGGCUUACCUGCCGCUCCUAUAUUUUAUUCAAGUUCACAGCCAUCUUGUUCCAUCUCAAAGAGGAGUGGCAGGACAGGCAAGCCCAAUAAUACGAGUGAAGUCUAGUGAUAAAGUCCAGUCCAGUCAGCCAGGCAAAAGAUUGCUUGCUGGUCAAGACCCUGGAUAAUUCCCUUUGGGCACUGUUGGCUAGAGAGCUGUUGCCUCAACAGUAUACUGAGGUCUUGUGAAGAUUGGUUGGCUAGAUAUUUCCUAUUACCCUUCCCCACCCCUUUGUUGAGGAGCUGCCUAUUCCUUUAAAACACAGUUACCCUGCUCUCUAACCAGGGUUAGACCAAGGAUAUAUUGCUGCAUCAACAGCCUAUAAAGCACUGCCAACUCCAUCUUAACAUGGGGCUGCAAUCUUGUUUGCACUCAUCAACUGAUUUUACUAUUAAAAUCGUUCAGCCUGGACACUGAGAUCCAGCACCAAGAGCAUUCUGGUGGUUCCCACACUGUGAGAAGUGAAGCUAAGGGAACUAGGCAGAUGGCCUUCUUGGUAGUGGCACCCUCCCUGUGGAAUACCCUCCCUUCAAAUGUCAAGCAGAUGCGUAAUUACAUAACAUUUAGGAAACACCUGAAGGCAGCCCUGAAGGAAGCUUUUUAAGGUUUAAUGCUUUAUUAUGUUUUUAUAUAUGCUGGAAGCUGCCCAGAGUGGCUGGGGCAACCCAGUCAGAUGGGUGUGGUACAAAUCAUCAACAACAACAACAAAACAACAAUAUGGGAAUUUAGAGGCAUGCUUCUUCUGAACUGGGGUGGGACAAACAGGGAGGGCUGUUUACCUACAUAUCCCAAUAACUUGGAGCAUUUGGCUGGCCAUUGCAUCAGAAGUUUUGAUCCAGCAUUGCUAUCAUGCUAUGAUAUGUUAUGUAACUACAAUUUCAUGUUUAACAUGUUUUCAAUAUGAAAUUCUCCAAAUGCAUUUAAAUAAUUUUUUUUUAAUUGAAUGAAGGCCUUUUGAGGUCUUUGCUUGGAGAGCAGUUUUAUUUUAUUGCAACUGAAGGGUUUCCUUUUCUUGGCAAUUUAUGUCUCCCUGGUUAAAUAUUACUAGAUAAGUAAAUGUUUCCAUUUUCAGAUUUGCUUCAUAGUAUACUUUUGUACUCAAGAUCCGUGUACUUUAGGGAUCACAGAACCUUGGGACUCCAAAAAAAAACCCCCAGCACACAAUAAAGUGUAACCUUAGUUGGACAGACUGAUGUUAACCAACUUUUCUAUUCUAAAUACAAGAAAGAGACUAGGCAAACAAUCAGAGGACUUGAUAGCUGCAGUCUUCAGUCUUUUCAGAUCCAGGAACCAUCUUUAACCCAAACAUUCCUUAAUUUUUUACCAUUUAUUUGUACAAUGGUAGUACUGCUGUUGCAAUUCACCAGUUCAAAAUGAAUGGUUUAGAGUAUGAUAAUGUUCACACAGAAUUUAACCAAACUCUAAACUCCACAGAUCUUUCCAAAUACUAAACUUUUUGUAUGUUCAACUCUUAGCUUUCAGAAUUUGACUUGUAUUUCAGUUAUAACGUACUCACAUGGAUAAUUUAUUACAUUUCUGGAACUUUAUCUCAGAAAUCCAGACUAAUCUCAGGUAUUAUAAGGGGCCUUUGGGAAUUGUACUUUAUGUCUGCAAAGUGUUAUUAUAAGCCACAAUAAGAUUAGGCUUGGAAUAGUGAAAACACAUGAGAAUAUAACAUCCUCAUAUUGAUAUUGUUGCAUGCCACCCCGAUCUCUGAGUGGUGUGAGACCUCAGGGGUUCCAGGCUCUUACCCAAGGUUUUGGGUAAGAGUUGCCUUUGGAAUGAGGCACAGCGGAGACUGUGGUGUCUUUAUGAUAUAUGGUUUAUUUACACAUAUACACAACCUGAGGCUAUGAUGGAGGGGUUCACAGGGUCUUGCUUCCCUCAAAACCACAGCCUUGGAUUCAAACAGAAAUCAAACAUCACUCUGACUCUCUGGCUUCCCAGCCUGUUGCUUCCAGCUUUUAUCUCACCUCACUCAACUCUCCACUCUAGUGUUUGUCUUUCUAACUACCAGCCAGUUUAGGGAGGGGGCCCACCCAUUUGUCCUCUAGUGCUGAGCCACUCCCUUUGGUUCUUAAGGGCCCAUAACCUAGGCUAUCAUCCCACCAGAACUGAAAUCCUUGCUUACAUUUAAAGACUUGCUGGAUCCAUAUGAUAAAGAACAAAUACAUGUUCUUGUUUCAAGAUAGAUAUCUGUCUUAGGAUGUACUUCCAACAGUAUUUUCAAACACAAGGGCUUCCAGUUGGGGCAUUAUGCCCUAUUCCCCCUCCUGGCCUUCUACGUGCCUUUUAUUUUCAUUAGGUAUAAAAUUAGAUUUUAAAUACCAGGGUGGAAGAAAAAGAGAUCUGUCUCUUGUAAUGUGUGUAACCUUUGCCCUUCUUUCCUUCUUGAACCCUGCCUGCUUCAUCCUUGUGUUAUGUCUUGUCAAAUCCAGUUUGUGUAGCUUUCAGAUGGGAUUACAUUCAGUUUACCUCUUCCUUCCUUAUAGAAAUACUUUGAGAAUUGCAAGGAUUUCUUUACAACAAGAUAUAAUUGUCAAUCAAUGAAAUAAAGAUAUAAAAGAUACACAACAACAGAAGAAUAAAUAAGGAAAAUUUCAAACCAAAAGGAUACUUAAGAAAAAGUUUCAAAAACCAUUAUAGUUUUCCACCUAGUCAUAUAAAAUUGAAGAUUAUAUCACUGCUAGAAACUAUGUUUCUACACGACAAGUCUUAAACCUACACUCACGCACAACAUUUUAAGUAUAAAUAAAAUAUCUUCCAGUUAAUAUGACUGUUAAUAUUCUUGCAGCUGUUGCUGUAAGUAGCCGCUUUGUUCUGUAUACUUCAUACAGUAUCACUUACUGUAGAUAAACAUAAGCCACAGCAGCAAAUAUCUUGGAUAAAAGUAUAUUUAGUAUUAACAGUUCAUUCGUCUUGGGAAGCAUGAAAAUCAUAUUGAAUGAAAAUACUCUAUAAUAAAAUUAUGGUGGACAUAAUCCAGUCAAAAAAGCUUUUAAAAUUAUUUAGUGGUACACAAAUGUUUACUGGCUUUGCUUGGAUCAUGUUUGUUAUGUGUGACAUAUAUACAUAUUUCUCUCUAUACAGCAAAUAUUAUAAAGUCUAUAGAAUCCUUAUGAUUCAAUAACCUACAUGGAUGUCACUUCAGUAUUGGAAAUUAACAUACAAGCUGGAACUAUUUUGUUGCAUAUACAGGUAGUAGAAAGCAGCAGCCGGCUGUAGCUUCCCUAUGUUUGCAGACUCAGCAAGUAAGCAUUUAUACUCAUCACAUCUGAAAGAGUUCCUAGAGUCUGGACUCAGAAGUGAAGAAAGAUAUAGCAUUCUUUCCAUCAGAGACAUCCAAGCACAAGACAUGCUAAAUGACAAGAAAGCUAACAAUGGCACUCUCUUCAGUUCUUUCUUACAUGAAUGACUGGCCUAUGAAAAUAAGUUCUAUCAUCCAUCUGAUAGUCAUAAGGGAAGGGGACAUGGCUGCAUUACUGAGCAGAGCAGAAGUCUGGCAACCUGGGUGGGGAUAUUUCUGAGAUGUCAACACCUUGCAUAAUCCUCAUGGCUUUAAUUCUGUGUAAUGGAGUUGGGAUAGAUUUUGAACGUUUCACAUGCUUCCGUAGAAGUUUAGUGUGAAGCUCAGAAUCUGCUUUCAGUAAAGCUGUGGCUUAAGAAUUGUAAUGUUAAUGUAAACUCUUUUGGAGCAGUUGUUAAGGAGCCAUUAGAAGUACUGUUUAGGCUUUUCAUGACUAAUCUCCUAAAUGCUGCUGAAGAUUAUGUAUCCUCCUUAGUAAAUGAUAUAUAUAUGACACAAAACUUUUAAGAAACAACUGUCAGAUUAGUUGGCUUUAGUAUGCUAUCAAGCCCUUGAGGGGAAAAGGCUGCAAAGGCUCUACAAAGCUAUAAACUACACAGUAUACUGAGGGUUGCUUUUUCUGUCUCUUUAAAGAGCUUCAGAUCCCUAACAGAGCCCCAAUGUGCAGGUAUUUUCUCUCAAUCAGUGCUUCUUACCACAGCAAGGGAGGAAGUUGUGAAUAUGAAACAGCAGCUUAGUUUUCAAAGAAGAGUUCAAUCUCUAUAUCUGUUAAUUAUGCACCUCUGUUUUAUGUAGUGUGCCAUCUGCUGACUGAAAAGAUAAUAGUUUAGUUUCCUACUGCCUCUACUACUGCUGUCAUUAAUUAGAAGCAUGUAAAGAUAUUCUGGGACAAGAAGCUACACUUAGAACUGGAUAUGGAACAACUGAUUGGUUCAAAAUUGGGAAAGGAGUACGGCAAGGCUGUAUAUUGUCUCCCUGCUUAUUCAACUUAUAUGCAGAAUUCAUCAUGCGAAAGGCUGGGCUGGAAGAUCACUGGAAGAAAUAUCAACAACCUCAGAUAUGCAGAUGACACAACCUUGAUGGCAGAAAGUGAGGAAGAAUUAAAGAACCUUUUAAUGAGGGUGAAAGAGGAGAGUGCAAAAUAUGGUCUGAAGCUCAACAUCAAAAAAACGAAGAUCAUGGCCACUGGUCCCAUCACCUCCUGGCAAAUAGAAGGGGAAGAAAUGGAGGCAGUGAGAGAUUUUACUUUCUUGGGCUCCCUGAUCACUGCAGAUGGUGACAGCAGUCACGAAAUUAAAAGACGCCUUCUCCUUGGGAGAAAGGCGAUGGCAAACCUAGACAGCAUCUUAAAAAGCAGAGACAUCACCUUGCCAACAAAGGUCCGUAUAGUUAAAGCCAUGGUUUUCCCAGUAGUGAUGUAUGGAAGUGAGAGCUGGACCAUAAAGAAGGCUGAUCGCCGAAGAAUUGAUGCUUUUGAAUUAUGGUGCUGGAGGAGACUCCUGAGAGUCCCAUGGACUUCAAGAAGAUCAAACGCAUCCAUUCUUAAGGAAAUUAGCCCUGGGUGCUCACUGGAAGGACAGAUCGUGAAGCUGAGGCUCCAAUACUUUGGCCACCUCAUGAGAAGAGAAGACUCCUGGAAAAGACCCUGAUGUUGGGAAAGAUGGAGGGCACAAGGAGAAGGGGACGACAGAGGACGAGAUGGUUAGACAGUGUUCUCGAAGCUACAAACAUGAGUCUGACCAGACUGCGGGAGGCAGUGGAAGACAGGAGUGCCUGGCGUGCUCUGGUCCAUGGGGUCACGAAGAGUCGGACACGACUAAACGACUAAACAACAACAAAAGAUAUUCUGAGUACUGUUCCCCUGCCAAACUGACCCACAAUCUUACCUCGCUCUUUCUACUUUAAACUAUGAAUUAUAUUUAUAUAAUUCAAACAAGGAUUAACUACAUCUUUUUAUCUAUCUUUUUUUAAAAGCUGGUUUGGAAUAAGCCAGUAAUCAGCUUCAGCUUUGGGGCUUAUACAUAAUGGCCACUGAAUGUUCAAAAUUCAGUCGAGAAAGUCACAUUCCUUGAAACAGGUUGAGUAUUAUGCAUAUUGACAAGAAAAUGUAGUUGAGAUAUUUAUUUUUCUUAUUUGGAGAACAUGCAUAAGAAAAAAUGAUAUUUAUUUUUCACUAAUAUAUGUAUUUGUAUGCACACUUAUCCAUUUUGUAUACUUUUUUAUUGAAAUGCACUGCAAAAAUUUUAGAGAAGGUUUUGAAGAUAGUUACAUUUCAGUUCACACACUGUAUUGUUAUAGGAAGUGCUAUUUAGGUAUGUUCACAUUAAAAUGUGAACUGAACCAAAUUUCUUCCCCAUUCCUACUGGAGUUAAGUCUCAUUGACUUUAAUUUCUUAGAAUCAUAGCAUUAUAGAGUGGGAAGGGGUCCCAAGGAUCAUCUAGUCCAACCCUUUGAAAUGAAGACAUCUCAACUAAAGCAUCCAUAACUGAUGGCCAUCCAACCUCUGCUUAAGACCCCCCAAGGAAGAAGAGUCCACCACCUCCUGAGGGAGCUCCACUGUCAAACAGCUCUUCCUGAUGUUUAGCCGGAAUCUCCUUUCUUGUAACUGCUUUGUCCUAGUCAUGUAAUGAUUCCUCUCCCACACUGAUGGACCUGUUCAAAUAAAACAUCCCUCCCCCAGAUUCUAUCCAAAUUAAGGGAGGAUUGAGAGUGGAUCUUGGGUUUGCAGGUUUUUCUUUCCUGCUCCUCCCUUUCCCACACUUCAUCCGCCCAGGAAGAAGUUGCCAGGGAAAUGGGUGGAUCUUGCAAGUGGGAACUUUCAUUCACAGCACACCCUGUCCAGUUAGUAUUCCAACUCUAUUCCAACUCAUUAGAAUUCUAUGAUUUUGUGACUGAAACUCUGGGGAACUCUGUGAGUCAGUGAAAACAAUACUAAGCUAUAUGGACUAAUAGUCUUACUCUGUAUGAGGCAGCUUUUUAUCUUCCAAAAACUAUGGUGCCAGAGGAGGCUUUAAAUUGAGAACAGAACCAACAUGUGGACAGAAUGUAGUUCUUGAGCAAGGAAAUUCAGAAGUGAGAGCUAUUGUUCACCUCCAGGUGGUGCAUUGUUUUGCACUUUUCCUGUCAUUGUUUAUACACACAAACACACACUGAUUGAUUGUAAUAAAACCUCUAAAUGGUUUACUAAAAAUAUUAAAAUUAUCAGCAGUAAAAACAGUUAGUUGUGCUCUUUAGCUUACACAAACCAAGUAAGGUAAUAAAUAAACAUAACAGACCAAGAAAGGACCAGUUAUGUAUGUAUAGCCCCACAAACUCAGACAUCAAAUCAUUGACUGGAAAUAAAGGGACAGUUAAGUCCAGUCGCGAACGACUCUGGGGUUGCAGUGCUCAUCUCGGUUUACAGGCCGAGGAAGCCGGCAUUUGUCCGCUCCGCAGACAGUUUUACCGGGUCAUGUGGCCAGCAUGACUAAUCCGCUUCUGGUGCAAUGGAACACCGACAUCAGAGCAGUGCACAGAAAUGCUGUUUACCUGGAAAUCCUGACCAUCAUUUCACUGUACCAUAUUUAUUCUUACCAAGCUAAGGCAAACCUUAAAAAUAUUAUAGUUCUUCUGAAUAAUUAUUGCACAAAUAAAGUAGUGGAAUCUGAAAUCCAGUUUUAUUAAUGAAAUCAAAUAAGUUAUUUCACGGGGUUUUUUCCUAGUCUGCGUCUGCACUGGAUUUAAAGUAGUUUUAAUUGCUUUUAUAAAAAUGAAAUCUACUUACAUGCAUUUUACUGUUGCUAUUUUAUUGUUAAGUUGCUUUAAGAUUGUUCAUAGGAAGUGAUUCACAAAAUAGAAAUAAAUAAAAAUUAUAUCCCAUUCAGUCAUGCUUGCCAAUUCUAGAAUAUGAGUUUUAACUUACUGGCUUUUGAACUUAAACAUUACAUUUGGAAAAUACUCAGAACUGGUAAAAAUUAAUAGGAUUUAUAAUCCUGUCUUUAUAUUAACAUACUGUAUGUACGGUAAUAAUACUUAGCCAGAUAUAAAUUACAGUGGUACCUUGGUUUGCAACUGCUUUGGAUUAUAACCACAUCAAACCCAGAAGUGCGUGUUCCUUUUUUUAGAUUACAACCCAUUUUGGGGGGGAAGCCCCAUUGGUGAAAGCGCGCCUUGGGUUACAACCUGUUUUGGUUUACAACCGGACCUCUGGAACGGAUUAUGGUUGUAAACCAAGGUACCACUGUAUAUGCUUCUUUAUCUGGUUUUUAAUGUCCUUGCAAUUAUGUUCCUGUAAUAAAUGCGUAUUUUGGUUAAAUUAUUGAAGUUCUGUUCUGACUUGUUGUGUAGUCAUUGUCAUUGGGCUUAAAAUAUUAAAGCAGAACUUUCAGGGAGUAGGCUGGGAGAAGUUGGACAUCACUAUGUCAAAGGGGCAUACAGCCAUAGCAAAAUAAGACAAUACAAAAAUGUUGGGGACAAGCAACCAAGCAAAAUUCAAAGCGAUGUUGCUGGCGUAAUGACAUUUAAAACACCCUAAGACAAUAAUACAGAGAUUUGGUUGCCAGCGCCAAAAAACUAGUAUGCGGAUAUAAAUAAAGCAUAAAAUGGCCCCAAAAUAGGCUCAGCACAUUGAGUUAAAAAGGUAAUAAAAGAAUUAAACAGGUCCAGGACUAGGGCACACUACCCUGUCAGAGUAGCCCUGAGUUUCAGAGCCUGCACUGUGAAGAUUGCCACCCCACGUGAAAUUUGGGGAUUUGCGUCCACAAGAAGUGCUUUCAGACAGUCUUCCUUAGAUGCAAUGGAGGACGGGAUCAAGAGGAGGAGCUUGGGUCUUAUUGGAUCAUAAAUAGGGCAGUAGAAAAAGAAAUGUAUGAAGUCCUCUACUUCAUUCAUUGUGCAUGGACAUAGACGCUGAGUAAUAGGGGUCUUAGAGUAGGUCCCCUGCAGGAAGGCCGUGGGUAUAGAAUGAAAACGGGCCAUUGUAAACGCUCUUCUCAAAUUGGGCUCCGUCAGGUCUAUCAAGUAGUUGGCAAGUGAUCUUACCACUUUCACUUUAGGGAGCCACAUGGAGAGGCGAGCUGAGGUGGACUGUGCCCGGUCCAUGGCCUCAUCUCUUAUAAGAAUCCAGGCCCGGAUUUUAUGUUGGUCCCAAGAUGACAACGUGUCGAAUUCUGGGAGGGAGUAGCGUACAGUAAUAGACUCCAUGGCCUUGGACCAUUUGUUGGAGUGAGAACAAGUUAAAAAGGCUUGCCUGGCUAGUAGGGAACCUGGGGCAUUGGUUAAUUUGCAAUAAAAACUAAUAAUUCUAAUGUGGGCUCUCGCAACAAUGGAGGGAAGGCCCAGUUCUGUUCUUAACUGAGCAGCAACCGAGCCCUUGGGGAGACCCAGUAUCUUUCGUGCAAAAGAGUUUUGUAGAAUCUCCAGCCGUUGUAGUGUUUUUAAAUUCCACCCCCAGAUUUCAACCCCAUACAGUAACAUCGGGAGGACUUUGCUAAUAAAUGCUUUUCUGAUUGGUGGAACCAACUGGCCGCCUUUUGCAUAGAAGAAUUUCUCCAAGGCUUUGAUGGUUCUGCGGGCAGCCAGGAUGGUCAUAUUUAGGUGAGCUGACCAGCUAAGCCCAUGCUGAAAAGUGAUUCCCAAAUACUUGAAAGCUGAGCAAUAUUCAAUAGAGUGGCCCUCAAAGUUCCAGAAUGACUUCCGAGUUUUCGUGCCAAAAGUAAGAAUUUUGGUUUUGGCGAAAUUGAUUUUGAGGGAAUUGGUAUCACAAUAUGUCAUGAGCCCUCUGAGCAUGUUGUUUAAGCCCUGCUUGGUUAAAGACAGUAUCACCAUGUCGUCCGCAUAGAGUAAUAUGGGGAUCUUAAGCUGUUGUAGAGAGGGGGCAGAUUGAUUUAGGGCCUGCAUAGUUGUAACGAUGUCGUUGAUAUAGAAAUUGAAUAGAAAAGGGGCCAAGAGGCAGCCCUGUUUGACCCCUUUAUUCAGAGGGAAAGAAUCAGAAAGAGCUCCCAGGGGCCGAAUUUUACUCUGGCCGAUAUGUCAUUAUGAAUUUCCAUAAGAAGAAGGAGGAGUCUCUUAUCUAUGUUGGUGUAACUAAGCUUCUGCCAUAGCCUAUCUCUGGGAAUGGAGUCAAAAGCGGAGGUCAGGUCCACAAAAGCCGCGUGUAGUUUGCAGUUAAACCUGUUUAGGUAUUUAUCAAUCAGGGUAAAUAGAACAAGACAUUGGCCAGAUGUACUGUGACCUUUACGGAAGCCAGCCUGUUCCGAGUGGAAUAGCUUUGUUUCUUCUGCCCACUCGAUUAAUUUCUCUAGCAAGAAUCUAGAGUAAACCUUGUAUGAUAUGUCUAGCAGGCUGAUGGGUCGAUAGUUACGCGGAUCUUGUGGGUCCCCCUUUUAUGUAUUGGGAUGACUAUGCUCUGUUUCCAAUUUGGCGGGAUCUUAAGAGUGGCAUUAAUAGUGGUAAAGAGAGAUGCAAAAAUAGGGCCCACCACAUCUGGUUCAAUAAGAAUACCUCGGGUGGAAUCAUAUCCUCCCCGGGAUUUAUCCCCUGAUAACAUGCUAAUUAGUUGAACACAUCUCUGGGGAGACUGGCUCCCAGGUGGGCAAGGCAGAUGCAGGAAGAGCGGAAACUGCGAGCACGUCGGAAUCUGGGUCGGAAUACAGCUGAGCAAAGUGAGAGUGCCAACUGGCUGCUGUGAUGUUAUUAACGAUGAAUGAGGGGGGUCUUAAACCUGCAUUAAUUAAAUUCCAGAAUUUCUUGUCGUCACGGGUUUUAAUGGCCUCUGACAAUGCCGUCCAGCGUUCUUUCGCAAAGAUCAAUUUCUUAUGUUGGAGCAACUUCUUGUAGUAAGAACGGAAUUGGGCUAACUCCCUGAUUUUGCUCUGGGUGCUGUCUGAUUUCAUAUCAGACUGAAGAAAUCUAAGCCUACUUCUGCACUGUUUACAUUCUUGGUCGAACCAAGUUUGAUUCUUCCAGGUUAGACUCGCACGGGAGGGUUUCGUAAGUGUUGGGAGCAAGUAGGCUAGAAUUUGUUGGAAACUUGAGAAAUGAUAGGAAGAGAGGUGUUUUGUUUCUUGCCAAAUCUCAGAAGACUCCUGGUGAUGUAUUUAGUAGCUACUAUUUUAUAAUAAGUAGGGACUGAUGGCAGAAUUUCCCUUUUAGAUUUGAAGUACCAGUACAGUGGUACCUCUAGUUACGAACUUAAUUCAUUCCAGAGAUCCGUUCUUAACCUGAAACUAUUCUUAACUAGAGGCGUGCUUUUGCUAAUGGGGCCUUUUGCUGCUGCUGCACCGCCGGCACACAACUUCUGUUCUCAUCCUGGGGCAAAGUUCUCAACUCGAGGUAACUCUUCCAGGUUGGUGGAAUUUGUAACCUGAAGCAUUUGUAACCUGAGGCGUUUGUAACUCGAGGUACCACUGUACUAAAAAAGAAGUGUAGAUUUGGUCCAUAAGCAGGAACUUUUUAAAGCAGGAACUUGCCAGAACUCAGUUCCAGCACCUCUCAUUGCCAUUAUAAGAGAACAAGGGAGGUGUUUAUGGUAAGUUCAGGCACCUCUUUUUCUAGAAAAAUAGCACUGGAUAGGUAGGAGUUACUAUAUUAGCACAAUUUUGAUUUUGUGUCAUAUAUCCACUAAGACACACAGAACUUGCUUGUCAGUUAAAUUAAAGGUGUUGUUCAGUGAACAGAAUUCUAUUAUUUGCUCUGGAAGCUGUAGAUUGGCUGUAAAAGUUGAGAACAUAUGGGAGCUGGAAUAGCUCAGUUGGUAAGAGCAUGAGACUCUUAAUCUCAAGGUUGUGGGUUUGAGCCCACAUUGGGCAAAAUAUUUCUGCAUUUGUAGGUAUCUACAAUUCUGUGAUUCUGUGAUUAUGUUCUAAGAGACAGGAAGCACAAGUUUCAUUCUCUUACUUUCUGAUCCAUGUUUUUCUUUUCCAAUGUCUAAAUCUGUAGUCAGAUUAUCAAGAUCUCAAACUAGAGAGAGAGGGAGAGAGAAAUUCUCCAUCGCAGAUGUUUUGAUUUUCACAUCAGGUGUUUCAAAGAAUGAGGAAUAUGAAACAUGAGUCACUUGUAUUUCCUGUCACCACCUCUGCAUGUCAUGCAUCUGAAGCUAUUCAAGGUCACACAAAAAAACCUCUUCUUAGUUAUGGACUCAGCAGUAAGUCUUGGAUAAAUUGUUAUUUCUCAAUUUCAGAUCUGCAUCUGUAAAAUGGGAAUAAUAGUGGCCUCUUUCUCAGGAGUAAUCAAGAGAAAGAUAAUAAAACUGUUUCCACACAGCAAAAGAUCUCUGUUAUUAAUUAGAAAUUUGUUAUAAUAAAGUCAGUGAGACAUAACCAUUUAAAUCCAUGUAGUUCACUUUAAUUAGUUAUUUGUGUUGAUACACCAGAC